Molecule: ribosomal RNA, 254 nt
Filed under: uncultured bacterium
Lineage: Bacteria
Description: partial 16S ribosomal RNA
Rfam family: Bacterial small subunit ribosomal RNA
Source: RNAcentral
UACGUAGGGAGCAAGCGUUGUCCGGAUUUAUUGGGCGUAAAGAGCUCGUAGGCGGCUUAGAAAGUCAGGUGUGAAACCUCCAGGCUCAACCUGGAGACGCCACUUGAUACUUCUAUGGCUUGAGUUCGGUAGGGGAUCACGGAAUUCCUGGUGUAGCGGUGAAAUGCGCAGAUAUCAGGAGGAACACCGAUGGCGAAGGCAGUGAUCUGGGCCGAUACUGACGCUGAGGAGCGAAAGCGUGGGGAGCGAACAGG